CCUACGGAAGGCAGCAGUGAGGAAUAUUGGUCAAUGGGCGGAAGCCUGAACCAGUCAAGUAGCGUGCAGGAUGACGGCCCUACGGGUUGUAAACUGCUUUUAUACGGGAAUAACGCGCCUUACGUGUAGGGCUUUGCAUGUACCGUAUGAAUAAGGACCGGCUAAUUCCGUGCCAGCAGCCGCGGUAAUACGGAAGGUCCGGGCGUUAUCCGGAUUUAUUGGGUUGAAAGGGAGCGUAGGCCGCAUGUCAAGCGUGCUGUGAAAUGUCCGGGCUCAACCCGGGCCUUGCAGCGCGAACUGGCGUGCUUGAGUCCGCGGAAAGCAGGCGGAAUUCGUCGUGUAGCGGUGAAAUGCUUAGAUAUGACGAAGAACCCCGAUUGCGAAGGCAGCUUGCUGCAGCGGAACUGACGCUGAUGCUCGAAAGCGCGGGUAUCGAACAGGAUUAGAUACCCUUGUAGUC
Molecule: ribosomal RNA, 460 nt
Filed under: uncultured bacterium
Lineage: Bacteria
Description: partial 16S ribosomal RNA
Rfam family: Bacterial small subunit ribosomal RNA
Source: RNAcentral